RNAcentral lists this ribosomal RNA (251 nucleotides) under uncultured prokaryote. Its description in RNAcentral is "partial 16S rRNA". It matches the Rfam family "Bacterial small subunit ribosomal RNA", at positions 525 to 775 of the family's 1533-position model. The record is from RNAcentral.
ACGUAGGGGGCAAGCGUUGUCCGGAAUUACUGGGCGUAAAGAGCACGUAGGCGGUUUAUUAAGUUAGAUGUGAAAGUUUGCAGCUUAACUGGAAAAGUGCCUUUAAAACUGGUAGACUUGAGUCUCGAAGAGGUAAGCGGAAUUCCAUGUGUAGCGGUGAAAUGCGUAGAUAUUAGGAAGAACACCGAUGGCGAAGGCAGCUUACGGGACGAGUACUGACGCUCAUGUACGAAAGCGUGGGGAGCAAACAG